RNAcentral lists this ribosomal RNA (253 nucleotides) under uncultured bacterium. RNAcentral describes it as "partial 16S ribosomal RNA". It matches the Rfam family "Bacterial small subunit ribosomal RNA", at positions 524 to 776 of the family's 1533-position model. The record is from RNAcentral.
UACGUAGGGGCCUAGCGUUGUCCGGAAUUAUUGGGCGUAAAGAGCUCGUAGGCGGUUUGUCGCGUCUGCCGUGAAAGUCCGGGGCUCAACUCCGGAUCUGCGGUGGGUACGGGCAGACUAGAGUGAUGUAGGGGAGACUGGAAUUCCUGGUGUAGCGGUGAAAUGCGCAGAUAUCAGGAGGAACACCGAUGGCGAAGGCAGGUCUCUGGGCAUUAACUGACGCUGAGGAGCGAAAGCAUGGGGAGCGAACAGG